AUUUUUCAAAAAUUGUUUAUAUUUUUUCAAGGGAAAUAACUCCUUAUAAGGGUUAACAACAAAAUGAUUGUAUAUGUUUAUUAUCGUUGCCAUCUGGUCUUGUACAUGUUGCCGUUUUCAAAUCGAUUCUAUCUUGAAUACUUUUUGAGAAAAAUGUAAAAGAAAGAAAUUGAAUCAAGGGGACGUAACUCUCAUAGGGAAUAAUGAAAUCCUUAGCAGCCUCAUAUGGUAACACAUCAUGAUGAGAUCUAACUUUUGUCCAAAUAAGGUCAUGAUAUCUUUAAAAACAACGAGGGGGGGUCCAUGUCGAAAAAAAUAAAUAAAAGGGAGAUAACUUCUAAAGGGGAUGAUGAAAUCCUACACAGCCUCAUCUGGUAAUACUUCAUGAUGAGGUCUACCGAUGGUCCAUAUUUGGUCUUGAUAACUCCAAUAGAAACGAGGGGAGGCCAUGUCAAACAAAUGCUGGAUGAAAAAAAAAAAAAAAACAGGAGAAAAACAAUAAGGUCUUUCCUCGCGGAGAGGAAAGACCUUAAUUAAAUAAACAAACA
Molecule: long non-coding RNA, 548 nt
Filed under: Mytilus galloprovincialis (Mediterranean mussel)
Lineage: Eukaryota; Metazoa; Mollusca; Bivalvia; Mytilida; Mytilidae
Source: RNAcentral